This 332-nucleotide ribosomal RNA is filed under the name uncultured bacterium. RNAcentral describes it as "bacterial SSU rRNA". It matches the Rfam family "Bacterial small subunit ribosomal RNA", at positions 568 to 898 of the family's 1533-position model. The record is from RNAcentral.
CGCGUAGGCGGCUUGGCAAGUCAGAUGUGAAAUCCCCGGGCUUAACUCGGGAAUUGCAUCUGAAACUGCCUUGCUUGAGUCCUGGAGGGGGUAGUGGAAUUCCCAGUGUAGCGGUGAAAUGCGUAGAUAUUGGGAGGAACACCGGCGGCGAAGGCGGCUACCUGGACAGUGACUGACGCUGAGGCGCGAAAGCUAGGGGAGCGAACGGGAUUAGAUACCCCGGUAGUCCUAGCCGUAAACGAUGGGCACUUGGUGUUGGGGGUAUUGAGUCCCCCGGUGCCGGAGUUAACACGUUAAGUGCCCCGCCUGGGGAGUACGGUCGCAAGACUGAA